AAAAGUGAAAGACGGUCUUGCUGUCACUUAUAGAUGGAUCCGCGCUGCAUUAGCUAGUUGGUAAGGUAACGGCUUACCAAGGCAACGAUGCAUAGCCGACCUGAGAGGGUGAUCGGCCACACUGGAACUGAGACACGGUCCAGACUCCUACGGGAGGCAGCAGUAGGGAAUCUUCCGCAAUGGGCGAAAGCCUGACGGAGCAACGCCGCGUGAGUGAUGAAGGUCUUCGGAUCGUAAAACUCUGUUAUUAGGGAAGAACAUAUGUGUAAGUAACUGUGCACAUCUUGACGGUACCUAAUCAGAAAGCCACGGCUAACUACGUGCCAGCAGCCGCGGUAAUACGUAGGUGGCAAGCGUUAUCCGGAAUUAUUGGGCGUAAAGCGCGCGUAGGCGGUUUUUUAAGUCUGAUGUGAAAGCCCACGGCUCAACCGUGGAGGGUCAUUGGAAACUGGAAAACUUGAGUGCAGAAGAGGAAAGUGGAAUUCCAUGUGUAGCGGUGAAAUGCGCAGAGAUAUGGAGGAACACCAGUGGCGAAGGCGACUUUCUGGUCUGUAACUGACGCUGAUGUGCGAAAGCGUGGGGAUCAAACAGGAUUAGAUACCCUGGUAGUCCACGCCGUAAACGAUGAGUGCUAAG
This 636-nucleotide ribosomal RNA is filed under the name Staphylococcus aureus. RNAcentral's name for it is "bacterial SSU rRNA". It matches the Rfam family "Bacterial small subunit ribosomal RNA", at positions 196 to 820 of the family's 1533-position model. Lineage: Bacteria; Bacillati; Bacillota; Bacilli; Caryophanales; Staphylococcaceae. The record is from RNAcentral.